AAGCGUGCGCAGGCGGUUUGUAAGACUGUCGUGAAAUCCCCGGGCUCAACCUGGGAAUGGCGAUGGUGACUGCAAGGCUAGAGUUUGGCGAGAGGGGGGUAGAAUUCCACGUGUAGCAGUGAAAUGCGUAGAUAUGUGGAGGAACACCGAUGGCGAAGGCACGCCCCCUGGGUCAAAACUGACGCUCAUGCACGAAAGCGUGGGGAGCAAACAGGAUUAGAUACCCCGGU
RNAcentral lists this ribosomal RNA (230 nucleotides) under uncultured bacterium. RNAcentral describes it as "partial 16S ribosomal RNA". It matches the Rfam family "Bacterial small subunit ribosomal RNA", at positions 563 to 791 of the family's 1533-position model. The record is from RNAcentral.